UCUGUUGUUUCUUGUUAUUCCUGUUACCAAAGUAUGUUCUAUGGACUUUACCAUAGGGUGUGUUUGCAAAGUAAUACCUGAAUGUGCCUUGCUCUAGUAACUUCUUUACUAUAGGAAAUGUAGCUUGUUGACUGCUAUUUGGAAUUUAUACCCUGAAUGGUGUGCUCUGCAUGCAAAAGUAGCAACUUGUUUAAAUGAUAGAUGAGGCAAUUGAGGGUAUUUGAUGUGCUGAAAUUCUCUAAGCUUUGUAAGGUUUUCAUGCUGUAUUCUAGUGAACCAGUUCUUCACAAUUUAAUAGCUCUUAAAUUUCAACAUUGGUCAGUUAGUUAAUUUUGUCUUUCAUAUUAAGGCCAUAAAAAGGAUUAAUAUAGAUGACAUUUGUUGUUCUUAGGAACCAAUGUGGGGUUUUAUGCAUUCUUAUGAACUAAUGUUUCCAGUGUCAAAUUUCUUAUAAUUGAAAAGCAGCCAAUCCACUCAUUCUAUAAAUUUGUGAUAGUGGUAGAGAAGAAUGUUUAACAAAACCUACAUGAGAUCCAUAUUCCGCAUGAAGCAUAUUAUAGUGCUGAUUUCCUGGCCGAGUUAGAAGUAGUCUGGAUGCUGAAAUGGUUUGGAGCAUCCCGCCUCCAUUUUGUCUUUCUUUUG
RNAcentral lists this long non-coding RNA (642 nucleotides) under Glycine max (soybean). Its description in RNAcentral is "long non-coding RNA (GMAX_LNC001902)". The record is from RNAcentral. Lineage: Eukaryota; Viridiplantae; Streptophyta; Magnoliopsida; Fabales; Fabaceae.